CCACGAAGGAAGACAGGAACAAGGCGUGACUACAUUGAAGAAAAGGGCAAGGUUGGUUCUCCUUGAGUUAGUAACUAAAAUCCCAAGUUGUCUUCUUGAAAGUUUAAGGUUGUGAGAAUAGCCUUAGCGUUCUUUCAUCUCGAGAGGCCUUAUUCCAUGAGAUCCCUCUACAUCUUAGGGCGCUGCCCUGUUCAUGUGAGGAGUGAAAAAAAAAGGUGUGUUUUAUAUAUUAAAGCUUGGAAAAGAAUCUCUAAGUGUUGUGGAGCAAAACUAAGGUUUGUGCCUAGAGAUUCUGAGUUUGUGGAUCAAGCAUUGGAGGGAGAUACAUAGCUUUCUUGUGAUACAAGAAAGCCUUUGUGUAAGCUUCAAGAGGUGAGCAGACCGUUGAUGAGCCCUCUAGGGCCAAGGAUGUUGUUCCGGGCUAGAGGAGCUGACAUAUUGGAUUAGAUAGUUUUUCUUUUUGGAGACUUUGUGUAUAUUCAUUUUUGGGUAAUUGUGUAUGACCAAUGUUUUGUAUAUGGCCUGUACAUGUUGUGAGAGAUUGUUUAUUCAUGAUGUAUGUACAAUUGAUAUCUCCGGCAUUGAUACAUGUAUUUAUUCAGUUAGAUGCAUGUGUUCGUAAAAUGUAUAUGAAAUGAUCUGUCAAGAUGAUAGAAUGUGUUGUGACACUGAGCCAAUAGUGUUUGAGCCCAUGGAUGGGUCUUAAGUCCUUGUAUGGACUAUAUGUAUAUGUAUAAUCUGUAUUGGACUGUUCUGAG
Long non-coding RNA from Gastrolobium bilobum, 758 nucleotides. RefSeq lists it as uncharacterized. The transcript has 3 exons. NCBI's taxonomy places the organism in Eukaryota, Viridiplantae, Streptophyta, Magnoliopsida, Fabales, Fabaceae. The record is from RefSeq and is a predicted model, not a curated record.